UACGUAGGGUGCGAGCGUUAAUCGGAAUUACUGGGCGUAAAGCGUGCGCAGGCGGUUCGUCGUGUCUGAUGUGAAAGCCCCGGGCUCAACCUGGGAAUGGCAUUGGAAACUGGCGGACUAGAGUGUGGCAGAGGGGGGUGGAAUUCCGCGUGUAGCAGUGAAAUGCGUAGAGAUGCGGAGGAACACCGAUGGCGAAGGCAGGUCUCUGGGCCACUACUGACGCUGAGAAGCGAAAGCAUGGGGAGCGAACAGG
RNAcentral lists this ribosomal RNA (253 nucleotides) under uncultured bacterium. Its description in RNAcentral is "partial 16S ribosomal RNA". It matches the Rfam family "Bacterial small subunit ribosomal RNA", at positions 524 to 776 of the family's 1533-position model. The record is from RNAcentral.